AUGGGCAAGAGAAGGCAUCACAGCAAUAUGUAAAAUUAUAGAAAAAGGGGAAAUAAUGAGUUUUCAACAUUUAAAAGACAAUUUUGGUUUAGGAAAAAAUGACUUUUUUAGAUAUUUGCAGACAAGAGAUUAUUAUGCAAGGGCAAUAAAAACAGAUAUGUCCACAGAGCAAAAUGGAGUAAUUAAGGUAUUAACGGAUGCAUAUAAAGGAAAGAUGGGAAGGGUGAUUUCAACACUGUAUCAAGGUCUGGUUAAGAGUAGGCGGAACUCAACAUUAUAUAUAAAAGAAAAGUGGGAACAAGAACUUGAAGUUGAGAUGACAGAAGAAGAAUGGUAUAAUGUCUGUAAGAUGCAACAUUCAACCACUGCCUCAAGAUUGUGGCGGGAGUUCAGCUGGAAAAACAUCAUCAGAUUCUUCAUAACCCCAAAGAUAAAAGGGAGGUAUCUCCCAGAACAGAAGAAGUGUUGGAGGUUAUGUGGACAGGAGGAGGCAGACCAUACUCACAUAUUUUGGAAGUGCUCAAAACUAGAAGGUUUUUGGGAAGGAGUGUGGGGAGUAUUAAAGGAGAUUUUAGGCUAUAACAUAUCCAAGAUGGGCUCAGUACUAUACUUAGGGAAUCUAACUGAAGGAAAUAUUCAGGGUCAGGAUAUCUAUCUUGUAAAGGCACUGCUUGCUGCUAGUAGGAAGAGUAUAACACGGGAAUGGUGCAAAAUUGAACCACCUACAAAGGAGCAGUGGAUGAGAAUAGUGGAGGAAAUAUUUGACAUAGAUAGGCUUACACACAUAUUGAGGUUACAGGAGGGGAAGUUUCAAUCCAAGUGGGAAAAAUGGAUUGAAUAUAAACGGAAAGGGGACGACACCAUAGUUUAGGAUACUUCAUUUCAAGAGCAGGGUGAUGCUGCACACAUUAGUAACAGAGGGAACUUCUAUGCCACUGUCGUUUGUUCUGCCGUGUUUUUUUUUUUUUUUUCCUUUUUUGUCUUGGUUUUUUUUUUUUUUUUUUUUUCUCUCUUUU
Molecule: long non-coding RNA, 1016 nt
Filed under: Salarias fasciatus (jewelled blenny)
Lineage: Eukaryota; Metazoa; Chordata; Actinopteri; Blenniiformes; Blenniidae
Description: lncRNA (ENSSFAG00005025312.1)
Source: RNAcentral